This is a long non-coding RNA of Toxorhynchites rutilus septentrionalis, 1008 nucleotides long. RefSeq lists it as uncharacterized. The transcript is spliced from 3 exons. The record is from RefSeq and is a predicted model, not a curated record. NCBI's taxonomy places the organism in Eukaryota, Metazoa, Arthropoda, Insecta, Diptera, Culicidae.
AGUGUAUUCAUUCCUUCUGCAAAUCCAUACUGUCAUGCCUCUUCCCCAAUAUCGUCAACGCGAAUAGUUCGUUAGUCGAAAAUACUGAAUAAUUAAACAAACUAAAUGGCGUCACUGGUGGUUCUUUUUUCCACUCCGCUAAACUGUCAUCUCAAACAAAAACAAAUGGAUCAUACAACUGCUAUGAAUACAUUCGACUCGUUUGCUUCCAUCAAUCGGUAAGUGAGAAAGAUGAUUUCUCCCAUCAGUGCGGAUUUCCACUUCUAUCACAGCAGCCAACAACAUCCGUUUUCCUGCAGCAGUAACCUAUAACCCCUGUUGGCAAUGCCGGGGGACAGCAUCAACAGCAGCAGCAGCAGAAUUUGACCAUGGUAUGGUAUUGCGAAGAACUUUCCCCAUUAGAGGUUCCGUGCUUCGCGCACAUUCAAAAUCCUCUUCAGACACGAAAACUCAACGACAAGGAGGUAUUUAUCAACUUGCUCAGCUGAAUUACCACCCGGAGGAACCCGAAUGCACUGAUUCCGUUGUAUAGUAGAAUGAAAAUAGGCGAGGUAAGCGAACGUAAUCGCAUGAUAUUUUAAUAGUUCGCAUUUUUAUCCGGAUCAUACAACUGCUAUGAAUACAUCCGACUCAAUCAAUCGGCGAGUGAGAAAGAUGAUUUCCCUCAUCACCACAUUGCUUAUUUCCACUUCUGUCACGCCAGCCAACAGCAUCAGCUUUCCCGCAGCAGUAUCCUUUAAGUCCAGGGUGCUAUUCCGGGGAACAGCAUCAUCAGUAACAGCAGCAGGACCUGGCCAUCGAUAGUAUUUCGAGCAAUUUUCCCCAUCGGAGAUCCCGUGCUUCACGCACAUUGAAGAAACCUCCUCAGCCACAUAUGUGUGUCAAGGAGAAAAAGGAGCUGGAUUCGAAUCGUCAAUCCAGACAACCCGAAUGCACCGAUUGCAUUAUAUAUCUUGUUUAUAUUUUAUAUGCAUUUUGUGUUUUUUUGAAUAAAAUGAUUAAAAACGA